This 322-nucleotide long non-coding RNA is filed under the name Capsella grandiflora. RNAcentral's name for it is "long non-coding RNA (CGRA_LNC001465)". The record is from RNAcentral. Lineage: Eukaryota; Viridiplantae; Streptophyta; Magnoliopsida; Brassicales; Brassicaceae.
UUUCUCCAUCGUUCAAUAGAUUACCAAACACAAAUGUGAAGAUGAGUUAUACUAUAUAGUUCACCCACCUUUCUCCUAUUUAUUACUUCUUCCCCUUCUUCUCCUCCUCACGCGUCUCUCUCUAUAUAACUCAAAAAAUAUCAUCUUCUCUUUCUCACUUUUUCAAGAUAUUUUCAAGAACAUAAAGAAGAAGAAACUGAUGAAUCAAGAAAAGCCCACUUCUUGUUGUUGUGUUCUUGAUGCUUCCACUUAUGUUGGUUUCUGGAUUCUCAAGAGAUUGCUCACUAAAGGUUACUCUGUUCACGCAGCUAUCCGUAAAAAC